RNAcentral lists this non-coding RNA (30 nucleotides) under Mus musculus (house mouse). The record is from RNAcentral. Lineage: Eukaryota; Metazoa; Chordata; Mammalia; Rodentia; Muridae.
UGGGAAGAAACUUUGGUGCCAAACCUCGUG